Molecule: long non-coding RNA, 1000 nt
Organism: Hydra vulgaris (swiftwater hydra)
Lineage: Eukaryota; Metazoa; Cnidaria; Hydrozoa; Anthoathecata; Hydridae
Source: RefSeq, a predicted model, not a curated record
GUUUGUUAAACUUACUUAUAUAUGCUUUGACUUACUAUUGAAGCAAUUUGUAUAGAUAUUAUUAUUUGUUAAACAGAAACAAUUAGUAAAUCAUUCAAUAUCAUUUGCUGCAAAAUUAGCAUUAAAGAAUGAACGAUAAAAGGGGGAGGCGGUACAAUGGUCUAUUUACUAAAAAUAUAGAUACUUUAGUGCAUCUCGUAAGGUUGGAGUAGCGGGAGAGGGAACGGCGUCGAGGGUUUACGCCCCUCAACCUAAGUCAAUCUUAUUCAUUUUGGCACUCUUGGUGGCCGUAUUAUAAAGAUUCGACACAUGCGUACAGCAGUAACUAAUCAAGUUUGGCCAUUGUUUAGUUUAAACGGCCGGAAAGGAAAACAGUGAUUUGAUAGCUGUUUACUCUGCCAAUUACAAUGAAUUGUCAGAUAUACAGACAAAAGUAAAUGGCAGCAACAUGUGGGAAGUGCAGCUGUUUUUUUGUCAGCUGCUGCAGACAUUAUUGACCCAACAUCUGCAUCCAUAAGUCAAGUGAAUCCGUCAUAUCUUUCAUCAACUGGUUUGCUCACAAAUUUUGUGGCCCAACCUGCUAGACAGCAAAAUAUUGAGCUCAAAUCAAUUCCAUAAAAACUGAUGAAAUUUUUAUUUAUCACAGCCUAAUCUGCAUCGAAAAAGAAUGUCCAUAUAAAUGGUCGGGAAAUUACAAAAAUACUAUUGUAUAAAGAAACAGUCUAGUAUCAAUAAUAUUUUAGACCUCUCAUACCUUACCAAAAAUAUUUAGGAGUUCCACCUUCUUCUGUGUUCAACGAAAGGUUGUUUAGUACUGCCGGAAAUAUUUAUGAAUCAACACGGUUCUGACUAACUGUAGAACAUGGUGAAUAUCUAGCUUUUGUGCAUGUAAAUUGGAAAUUUUUUGGAGAAAAUAAUACAAAAAAAAACGUUUCGCAGUUUUAUAUAACAUAUUUUUUUACUGUUCAUAACGUUAUAAAUGUUUAUAUUUAUUUUUAAC